CGCCAGCUUCUCCCCGGUGGGUCUAAUCGUCUGCGCACGGCCGCGUAUCCGAACCUUCUGGUCCUUCAACGCCUCAGUUAGAGCUCCGACCUCCGUCCGAAGAUUGACGUCGACCAUCUUCAUCGACUGGAGCUGAAUGAGUGACACGUCGCCAUAGUUCGCUGCGAGUUGGUCCUCCGGCGCGGCGGAGUACUGAUCAGCGCGAGCCGCGGCGGUCGCUGCUUCUCGCUCCUGGCGGCGACGGAGCUUCUCGAGCUUGGCCGC
Molecule: long non-coding RNA, 264 nt
Filed under: Rosa chinensis
Lineage: Eukaryota; Viridiplantae; Streptophyta; Magnoliopsida; Rosales; Rosaceae
Description: sRNA RchiOBHm_Chr6g0278861
Source: RNAcentral